RNAcentral lists this ribosomal RNA (271 nucleotides) under uncultured bacterium. RNAcentral's name for it is "partial 16S ribosomal RNA". It matches the Rfam family "Bacterial small subunit ribosomal RNA", at positions 524 to 794 of the family's 1533-position model. The record is from RNAcentral.
UACGUAGGUGGCAAGCGUUGUCCGGAUUUAUUGGGUUUAAAGGGUGCGUAGGCGGUUCCAUAAGUCAGUGGUGAAAUACGGCAGCUUAACUGUCGAGGUGCCAUUGAUACUGCGGGACUUGAGUACAGACGAGGUAGGCGGAAUUGACGGUGUAGCGGUGAAAUGCUUAGAUAUCGAGAGGAACAUCAGUGGCGAAAGCGAGUUUCUGGUCGGAUUCCGACGCUGAGGCACGAAAGCGAAGGUAGCAAACGGGAUUAGAAACCCGAGUAGU